Molecule: non-coding RNA, 372 nt
Organism: Chelonoidis abingdonii (Abingdon island giant tortoise)
Lineage: Eukaryota; Metazoa; Chordata; Testudines; Testudinidae
Source: RefSeq, a predicted model, not a curated record
UGAAUUUCACCUGCCAUUUUGGAAAUGGAAGAAGAAAAUUAUUUUUAAAAUACCAAUAAGUUAUAAUUGUUUGAAGCAUUAUCAGCACACAAGAAAAAUUUUAUCCAAACAGCCAUUUCAUGCUGAUUUUAAGGGACUAUUAACUCAUAUAGUUUAAAACGUAAGUUUUGUGCUAACAGGCUAAGAGCUCAUUUGCAAGAUUUAAGACCACAAGAAAUGUUUGGGAUUUUUUUUUUUAAAAAGCCAUGAAAGCAGAACUUGCAACACUGGGAACCUAAAAGUGACUUCAUCCGUUUCCCUUGUAGGAGCUGAGAGAAAUACAAAGAGUAAAACAGCAAAAUGUGAAAGAUAUACUGCAUUUUUUAAAUCCCU